UCCGGUUUGUCACCGGCAGUCUCCUUAGAGUGCCCUUGCGUAGCAACUAAGGACAAGGGUUGCGCUCGUUGCGGGACUUAACCCAACAUCUCACGACACGAGCUGACGACAGCCAUGCAGCACCUGUGUCCUCGUCCCCGAAGGGAACUCCAGAUCUCUCUGGAUAGCGAGGCAUGUCAAAAGGUGGUAAGGUUCUGCGCGUUGCUUCGAAUUAAACCACAUGCUCCACUGCUUGUGCGGGCCCCCGUCAAUUCCUUUGAGUUUCAGCCUUGCGGCCGUACUCCCCAGGCGGGGCACUUACAGCGUUAGCGACGGCACCGGGAGGGUCGCUCCCCCCGACGCCUAGUACCCAUCGUUUACGGCGUGGACUAC
RNAcentral lists this unclassified non-coding RNA (372 nucleotides) under uncultured bacterium. RNAcentral describes it as "contains 16S-23S intergenic spacer region". The record is from RNAcentral.